GACGAACGCUGGCGGCGUGCUUAACACAUGCAAGUCGAACGGAAAGGCCCUGCUUUUGUGGGGUGCUCGAGUGGCGAACGGGUGAGUAACACGUGAGUAACCUGCCCUUGACUUUGGGAUAACUUCAGGAAACUGGGGCUAAUACCGGAUAGGAGCUCCUGCUGCAUGGUGGGGGUUGGAAAGUUUCGGCGGUUGGGGAUGGACUCGCGGCUUAUCAGCUUGUUGGUGGGGUAGUGGCUUACCAAGGCUUUGACGGGUAGCCGGCCUGAGAGGGUGAACGGCCACAUUGGGACUGAGAUACGGCCCAGAAUCCUACGGGAGGCAGAAGUGGGGAAUAUUGCACAAUGGGCGGAAGCCUGAUGCAGCAACGCCGCGUGCGGGAUGACGGCCUUCGGGUUGUAAACCGCUUUCGCCUGUGACGAAGCGUGAGUGACGGUAAUGGGUAAAGAAGCACCGGCUAACUACGUG
This 468-nucleotide ribosomal RNA is filed under the name uncultured bacterium. Its description in RNAcentral is "partial 16S ribosomal RNA". It matches the Rfam family "Bacterial small subunit ribosomal RNA", at positions 28 to 507 of the family's 1533-position model. The record is from RNAcentral.